Molecule: long non-coding RNA, 2910 nt
Organism: Amaranthus tricolor (Joseph's coat)
Lineage: Eukaryota; Viridiplantae; Streptophyta; Magnoliopsida; Caryophyllales; Amaranthaceae
Exons: 2
Source: RefSeq, a predicted model, not a curated record
GUGGUCGGGGUGGGGUGGAUGGGUGGUUAUUAUUUGAUUUUUUUGUUAAUAUUUUUGUAAUUUUAUUUUAUUUUAUCUUUUUUUUUUGUAAGUUUACCUCUAAAAAUAGAUAAAAUUUUGAUGAACAAUAUUUUUGGAUGACUACCUCAAUAAUUGAGAUUAUUUAUGAUUAAUUAAUAGUUAUAUUAUUGUAAAAAAAUUAGUAAAUAAGUUGGAUUACUCUGGGUAAAUUUUGGUUAUUUACUUAUUUGUAUCGUUAAUGUAUCGCCCAAUAUUUAAGAAUUUGGCCAUCGAAGCUUGUACAUCAACAAACAUAUGCGUCAACUUCAUCAAUGCUUCUCAUUGUUGCUGCACCCGGAAAUUCCACCAGACCACCACCAUCUUCUACUCCAAUUUCAGGUUCUUGUUAUUGGAGGUGGAGAUGGAGGUGUCCUGCGUGAAGUAGCUCACCAUCCAUCAAUAACAUAACAAAGGUAAGGUUGCGUAGAUCCGACCCUCGCAAACUCCACCUAGGUGAGAGCUGCUCAAUGGCAUUGAGAUUAUGCUAUAUUGUACUAAUUCAGGGUUAUCAUAGAUUUUGUGUAAUCGCAACAAUCAGCCAAAUUAUAAGCUGUAAAAUCUGUUGUAUGUAAUUCGUGCGUGCACAUACAAACAAAGGCUUGUAUUACCAUUUGUGAUUCAAAUGAUGUUGAGCCAUUGUGUGUGGUUUGGUUCAGGUGAUAUUUAGAGACUUCAAAUCUUCUAACAUUCUGCUGGACGAGAAUAUGAUUGCCAAGUUUUCUACACUGAAUUCGAAAAUGGUUUAUCAUAUUUUAUUUGGAAGAUUCUAUGCAUUUGUUGUUGAAAGUUGGAUCAGUUUGGCUAUUAUUCUUGAAUUCAAUUCGAAAAUGGUUUGAAUUGUUUACUUCUUAACAGAUUCAAGAUAUAUAGGUCUGAUGGUGUUGGUGUCGAAUUCUUAUUAUUGAAAAAAUAUUUUUGUUUAGAGUGUGGUAGGAGUUGAUUAAAUGUAGAAAACUAACAUAUAUGUGCUUCAUAAUUUCAGGUUUAAGUUUUGGAAAAAAGUAAAAAUGCCUGACACACUCUUAUCAAUGAUUUUGAAUACAAACUUAGGAAACGGAGAGUGUCUUCCUUAAGAUUUGCUUACAAUUAACAUUUAAAAUGUGAUUUUUCAUCCUCGUUAUUUAUUGGUUUCUUGGCAAAAAUUGAGGGGUCGCAAGCCAUGGCAAGGUACACAGCAGAGUUGCUUCGUUCAGUUAUAUCACAACAAAGGAUUCCUUAUACAAAUCAGACGUCUGUGUCCAACUCUUGUGCAUAGACGUCUGUGUCCAUUGCUUCUCUCUAGGUUUAGUAUUUGUUUUUAUUUUAUGCGCAUCUAUAUUUGUAUUUAUGCGUAUACCAUUGUGUCUAAAUAAUGUUAACAUAAUAAAGCGGAAUACUUUGUUGUGCUCUUUGGGUUAAAAUAUUUGGUUAAAAGCUUAACAAGCUGAGAGAAACUGACUUGUUAGCAUGUUACAUGUUAACAAACCCACAGAAUUACCAGCAGCUAACACUAAUCACACCAUUAUAAAUAGAGAAAGAUGUUGUUUCUUGGAACUCAAUGAUUGCAGUGUUUGGACAAAAUGGACUAUCAGCUGAAGAUAUCGAUGUAUUUUGUGUCAUGGUAAAUGAUGGACUUGUCAAAUUUAAUGCUGUGACAAUAUCUACUGUAUUCUGUUGGCUUACGCUCAUGCUGGAGCUUUAGUUCUUGGCUUGCAUUAUAUAUUCUUACAGGUUGUUAAAAUGGGUUUGGAACAAAAUGUCUUUGUUGGCACAUCAAUCAUUGACAUGUAUUGCAAAUGCUGCCAGGAUAGUAUUCAAUUGCAUGAAGAAUAAGAGUUUAAGAUCCUGGAGUGCAUUGAUAUCUGGUUAUGCAAUGCUUGGGUAUGCCACAGAAGCUCUUGAUCUUUUCUAUGAUAUGAAAAGGUCGAGGAUAAAGCCAAAUUGUGUAACUUAUAUAUCAGUUUAACUGCAUGUAGCCAUGUUGGCCUUGUCAAAGAAGGUUGCGAGUGCUUUACUAGCAUGAAAAGUGAUAAGUGUAGUAAUUUACACUUAUUGCUUCCUUUUGUGGUUUAUCGAGGACUAUAGUUAGCGUUUUAAGGUUCAUUGCGUUCAUGAUUUGCUAAAAUGAGUUCAUUUGUCGUUAUUUCCCUUUUCAUGCUUUAAUAAUUGAUAUUCGAGUUGAUUCAAGCAAGUUUCAAGCCUUCUCGGUCCUCAAACAUGUCUACCGAGCUUUAAUGAUACAUCACUAUAUAGUUCGACAUUAUUCAGUAGCUCAUGAAUGCUUUUAUCAAAGUCGAAGAAAGUUCGAAGGACAUUUGAAGAAAUUUCAAGUCAUUAAGCAUGAUCUCGGGUGAGUUUACAUUGCCUUCGAUUGAAGCUCUAUUGAAAUCAAGGUUCUGGAUUGAUUUGCAUUUUAUUUCGGUUGAGACUCCCAACAAUUUAGUCGAAGCUGGGUAUUGAGAAAAGUACUGGUGCUAGCUGAUUGAAGCAUCGACCGAAGCUGCCCUUGACUUCGGCCGAAAUCGGAGCUUGAUGUAACCGCUGCAUUAUUUUCUUCCUUGGAAUUCGGAUGUGAGCAUUAACUGAAUUGCAGUUUCUAAUCGAAGGCAUUUUAGUUAGUGGAGAUUAUGUUAAUUAUUUUAGUUUUCAUUUUAGUUAGUUUUUAUCAAUUAUUUUCGGAGGCAUUUUCGACAGAUUAGUAAAGGGGCAUUAUCAAUAUAAAUUAGAAAGUUAGGCACAUUUUGCAUAGAUUAGUUUUAGUUUUAUUAUAUUUCAUUAUCAUGCUUUAGUUAAUUAGAUUUUCUUUAUUAUACUUUAAUUUAGCCUUUAAUUUUAAUUUGUACUUUAAUGUUUAUGUAAUUUGAAGUUUAC